UCAGUGCCAUUCACGUGAAACCAUAGUAC
RNAcentral lists this small RNA (29 nucleotides) under Bombyx mori (domestic silkworm). RNAcentral describes it as "ovarian small RNA-25804". Lineage: Eukaryota; Metazoa; Arthropoda; Insecta; Lepidoptera; Bombycidae. The record is from RNAcentral.